GUGCGUCCUAUUAGCUAGUUGGAGAGGUAAUGGCUCACCAAGGCUACGAUGGGUAGGGGUUCUUAGUGGAAGGUCCCCCACACUGGCACUGAGAUACGGGCCAGACUCCUACGGGAGGCAGCAGUAGGGAAUAUUGGUCAAUGGGCGCAAGCCUGAACCAGCCAUGCCGCGUGCAGGAUGAAAGCUCUCUGAGUUGUAAACUGCUUUUGUACAGGAGCAAAAAAGUCCCUGCGGGGAUUCUUGAGAGUACUGUAAGAAUAAGCACCGGCUAAUUCCGUGCCAGCAGCCGCGGUAAUACGGAAGGUGCAAGCGUUAUCCGGUUUUAUUGGGUUUAAAGGGUGCGUAGGCGGCUUAUUAAGUCAGUAGUGAAAUCCUAGUGCUUAACGCUAGAACUGCAAUUGAUACUAUUAGGCUUGAGU
RNAcentral lists this ribosomal RNA (419 nucleotides) under Candidatus Cardinium hertigii. RNAcentral describes it as "bacterial SSU rRNA". It matches the Rfam family "Bacterial small subunit ribosomal RNA", at positions 231 to 647 of the family's 1533-position model. The record is from RNAcentral. Lineage: Bacteria; Pseudomonadati; Bacteroidota; Cytophagia; Cytophagales; Amoebophilaceae.